This 449-nucleotide ribosomal RNA is filed under the name uncultured bacterium. Its description in RNAcentral is "bacterial SSU rRNA". It matches the Rfam family "Bacterial small subunit ribosomal RNA", at positions 29 to 524 of the family's 1533-position model. The record is from RNAcentral.
AACGAACGCUGGCGGCAUGCCUAACACAUGCAAGUCGAACGAACUCUUCGGAGUUAGUGGCGCACGGGUGCGUAACGCGUGGGAAUCUGCCCUUGGGUACGGAAUAACUCAGAGAAAUUUGUGCUAAUACCGUAUAAUGACUUCGGUCCAAAGAUUUAUCGCCCAAGGAUGAGCCCGCGUAAGAUUAGCUAGUUGGUGGGGUAAAAGCCUACCAAGGCGACGAUCUUUAGCUGGUCUGAGAGGAUGAUCAGCCACACUGGGACUGAGACACGGCCCAGACUCCUACGGGAGGCAGCAGUGGGGAAUAUUGGACAAUGGGCGAAAGCCUGAUCCAGCAAUGCCGCGUGAGUGAUGAAGGCCUUAGGGUGUAAAGCUCUUUUACCCGGGAUGAUAAUGACAGUACCGGGAGAAUAAGCUCCGGCUAACUCCGUGCCAGCAGCCGCGGUAAU